This is a long non-coding RNA of Oncorhynchus tshawytscha (Chinook salmon), 1050 nucleotides long. NCBI's taxonomy places the organism in Eukaryota, Metazoa, Chordata, Actinopteri, Salmoniformes, Salmonidae. The record is from Ensembl.
CGAAGUCACUCUUGAGCAAUCUGCCUGGCCAAGUCAUGUCUUCUGUCCUAAGGAAGUGAAAGUUAGGAAAAUUCUGCCAGUCCAGCAGAAAGAGAGGCCACUUUGGUCACGGACCUCCCUCUCUCUACAUGGUUCACUGGAGAUUUUGCGUUCUCUCUUUCACCAAGGCUGCAGGUGUUGUGCUGAAUAACAACAAUAAUAAGUUGUUAAUGACAUCACUCUCUCUCCCUGUCCCUCAUUGAAUGUUGUGGCUGAUUAUCUUUUCCGGGUUUCAGAGGGUAUCUCUGGGUUUACUGUAUGCACACACACAUACGUAAACAGACGCAAACACACAGACACACAAACACACAGUCUUAACACAAUCAUUAAUCAGUCACUGUGCGAGAGGCCAAGGCCGAGAGCUGAGCAGAGAAGCAAGAGGACUUUGCCAAAAGCAGCAGUAGCUACCCAUAAAAACAUCUGCCAAAAAUGUUCUGCAGUUGGCAAGUAUUGUCCCUGUAUCAUUCCAGUAUUGUCACAUAUUUUUCCUUGAUGUUUUCCUACUUAUAGCAGUGACUCAUUUGGGGCCUGGGGGAGAAUAGAGUGAGUAACAUGUUAGUGUUUAUGUAAUGAGUGUAUUAUAACUGUGUGUGUGUGUGUCUGUGCCAUUUGUGUGACAUUUGUGUGGCAAGUGUGUUAUAUCAGCCAAGCUUAGCAAUGUUAAAUAAACAAACUGUGAUAGAGAUCCUCCAUGAAGCAGAGGAUUUGGAUUGGACAGCUCGGGAUCAGUAGAAGCUGAUGGCUCGGAGAUGGCUUUUUCUUUGUCCGUGCAUGUGUGUGCUUGUCUAUGUGUCUGUGUGUCUGUGUGUCUGUGUGUCUGUGUGUUGAAUUUCUGAGGGUCAGUGUUUUGACAUGAUUAUGUACAGUCAGGUCCAGAAUUAUUGGCACCCUUGAUAAAGAUGAGCAAAAAAGUGUUGAAAAUAUUUUAUACAAAUAGUGAUCUAUAUCGUAUGCUUAAUAAAAUGGUACAAUUAUAUUAUUUUAUACUAAUACAAUUGCUCAGAUAAAGAG